CCUACGGGUGACAGCAGUAGGGAAUCUUUCACAAUGGGCGAAAGCCUGAUGGAGCAACGCCGCGUGCAGGAUGAAGGCCUUCGGGUUGGAAACUGCUUUUAUAAGCGAGAAAUAUGAUGGUAACUUAUGAAUAAUGAUCGGCUAACGACGUACAAGCAGCCGCGGUCAUACGUAGGAUCCGAGCAUUAUCCGGAGGGACUGGGGGUAAAAAGUUGUGUAGGUGGCGUAAUAAGUAGCUAGUGUAAUCUGGUGGCUCAACCAUUCAGACUAUUAGCUAAACUGUUAAGCUCGAGAGCGUUAGGGGUAACUGGAAUUCCUAGUGUAGGAGUGAAAUCCGUAGAUAUUA
RNAcentral lists this ribosomal RNA (346 nucleotides) under uncultured bacterium. RNAcentral describes it as "partial 16S ribosomal RNA". It matches the Rfam family "Bacterial small subunit ribosomal RNA", at positions 338 to 699 of the family's 1533-position model. The record is from RNAcentral.